GGGGGUGUAGCUCAGUGGUUAGAGCAGAGGACUCAUAAUCCUUUGGUCGUUGGUUCAAGUCCAACCACCCCCACCA
This 76-nucleotide transfer RNA is filed under the name Candidatus Saccharimonadota bacterium. Its description in RNAcentral is "tRNA-Ile". It matches the Rfam family "tRNA". Rfam says of the family: Transfer RNA (tRNA) molecules are approximately 80 nucleotides in length. Their secondary structure includes four short double-helical elements and three loops (D, anti-codon, and T loops). Lineage: Bacteria; Candidatus Saccharimonadota. The record is from RNAcentral. RNAcentral also lists the same sequence under 1 other name.